UACGUAGGGGGCGAGCGUUGUUCGGAAUUACUGGGCGUAAAGAGUGUGUAGGCGGUGCUCCCAGUCUGUUGUGAAAUCUCCCGGCUUAACUGGGAGGGUGCAGCGGAAACUAGAGUGCUAGAGGGUGGGAGAGGUAAGCGGAAUUCCUGGUGUAGCGGUGAAAUGCGUAGAUAUCAGGAGGAACACCUGUGGUGUAGACAGCUUACUGGACCACUUCUGACGCUGAGACACGAAAGCGUGGGUAGCAAACAGG
RNAcentral lists this ribosomal RNA (253 nucleotides) under uncultured bacterium. RNAcentral describes it as "partial 16S ribosomal RNA". It matches the Rfam family "Bacterial small subunit ribosomal RNA", at positions 524 to 776 of the family's 1533-position model. The record is from RNAcentral.